UACGAAGGGGGCUAGCGUUGCUCGGAAUUACUGGGCGUAAAGCGCACGUAGGCGGCUUCUUAAGUCAGGGGUGAAAUCCUGGAGCUCAACUCCAGAACUGCCUUUGAUACUGGGGAUCUCGAGUCCGGGAGAGGUGAGUGGAACUGCGAGUGUAGAGGUGAAAUUCGUAGAUAUUCGCAAGAACACCAGUGGCGAAGGCGGCUCACUGGCCCGGUACUGACGCUGAGGUGCGAAAGCGUGGGGAGCAAACAGG
Molecule: ribosomal RNA, 253 nt
Filed under: uncultured bacterium
Lineage: Bacteria
Description: partial 16S ribosomal RNA
Rfam family: Bacterial small subunit ribosomal RNA
Source: RNAcentral